Xyrichtys novacula (pearly razorfish) is the source of this 209-nucleotide non-coding RNA. The record is from the annotation of a GenBank genome assembly. NCBI's taxonomy places the organism in Eukaryota, Metazoa, Chordata, Actinopteri, Labriformes, Labridae.
GGUGGCGGACCCCACGCAGUUGUAUUUUCGUCUGGCGGAGCCCGGCGUACAGCCAGUUUGGUAUUUUCGUGGACUGAGGCGCACCAAGAUCCGCCAAGCUGGGCGUGGUGGCGUGGCAGGGGGAGGUGUCGACAGAAUCAGCGGGUGCAGUGACAUUUUCGUGCUCACCGGUGGCGUGUAAAGUGCGCUGAAAGCUUGCCGUUUCAAAC